AGGACGAACGCUGGCGGCGUGCUUAACACAUGCAAGUCGAGCGGAAAGGCCCUUCGGGGUACUCGAGCGGCGAACGGGUGAGUAACACGUGAGUAACCUGCCCCAAACUUUGGGAUAACCCUCGGAAACGGGGGCUAAUACCGGAUAUGACACAGCUUCGCAUGGGGUCUGUGUGGAAAGUUUUUCGGUUUGGGAUGGGCUCGCGGCCUAUCAGCUUGUUGGUGGGUGAUGGCCUACCAAGGCGACGACGGGUA
RNAcentral lists this ribosomal RNA (254 nucleotides) under uncultured soil bacterium. RNAcentral's name for it is "partial 16S ribosomal RNA". It matches the Rfam family "Bacterial small subunit ribosomal RNA", at positions 26 to 285 of the family's 1533-position model. The record is from RNAcentral.